Molecule: ribosomal RNA, 445 nt
Filed under: uncultured bacterium
Lineage: Bacteria
Description: SSU rRNA
Rfam family: Bacterial small subunit ribosomal RNA
Source: RNAcentral
AGAACGAACGCUGGCGGCAUGCCUAACACAUGCAAGUCGAGCGCCCCGCAAGGGGAGCGGCAGACGGGAGAGUAACACGUGGGAACGUACCUUUCGGUUCGGAACAACCCAGGGAAACUUGGGCUAAUACCGGAUACGCCCGCAAGGGGAAAGAUUUAUCGCCGGAAGAUCGGCCCGCGUCUGAUUAGCUAGUUGGUGAGGUAACGGCUCACCAAGGCGACGAUCAGUAGCUGGUCUGAGAGGAUGAUCAGCCUCACUGGGACUGAGACACGGCCCAGACUCCUACGGGAGGCAGCAGUGGGGAAUAUUGGACAAUGGGCGCAAGCCUGAUCCAGCCAUGCCGCGUGGGUGAUGAAGGCCCUAGGGUUGUAAAAGCCCUUUCGGCGGGGAAGAUAAUGACGGUACCCGCAGAAGAAGCCCCGGCUAACUUCGCGCCAGCAGCCGC